This is a long non-coding RNA of Balaenoptera ricei (Rice's whale), 1653 nucleotides long. RefSeq lists it as uncharacterized. NCBI's taxonomy places the organism in Eukaryota, Metazoa, Chordata, Mammalia, Artiodactyla, Balaenopteridae. The record is from RefSeq and is a predicted model, not a curated record. The transcript has 3 exons.
CUUUUAAACAGGUAAUAUUUUCCCUACAGUUUGCUUUCACUGAAAUAUAUUAUCUUUUUUACAUACUAGGUAGAAGCAAUUUAACAACAGAAUAGUUAGCUACAAUAUGUUCAAAAUAUUGGGAAAUGCAGAUUUAUAGAUGUGACCAUCAAUUUUAUUUUGUUAUGUUUUUUAAAUACUUACUGGUCCAGCUGCAGCAUACACUAACUGACUUGGUUUUACAUUUUAGGGCUGAAACCCUGAGGAACCUGCGGAGUAACUGUUUAGCACUGAGCAGAGUUCAGUAUGCAUGUGCUCCCAGAGUUAAAAACUAAACCAAACCAAUUGAAAAACAAAAAUCCCAGUAUCUUUUAAUUUUUGAGUAUUUACUUGUAAUCACAGGCUUUCCCAAAUUAUUAGAAUGCCUUAUACCUUGGCUAUUUUACUAGAAUAAUGAUUUAGGUUAUUUAGUAUAGUCAUUUUGCUCAGAAUUUGGUAUAAACAGAUCUUUUUUGCUUUUCAGAAAUUACUAAGCUCUGUCGGUGCCACAGCUGAUCCCUCUUCAGUUCCAGAGGCUUCUUCUGGUGUCUGUAGCUCUUGACAGUGGUACUUCACCUUCAGUGGUUUGCCGGGGUACCAGACCAAGUGAAUAUGACAGGGAAUCAUUUCCUGGGAAAUAAGAGUUCUGAAAUAUUAUGAUCUGCAAAAACUUCUGGUUUAAACAGUUCUAUAUACCAUUUUGUUUUACCUGUGUUGAGAAUUCAUGGAGUAGAACAGUAUAAUCAAAAUCAAUUGCAUCUUCAUUUGUUUUCUAGAAGAAGAAAGAAAGAGUUAGUGCGAUAGAUAGUGUGGGUUUAUAUUAGCUUAGAAUUUGGAAGGCUCGUCUUAUAUCACCUGCCUCCUCUUUGAUGCUAGCCUCAUCUCCUUUGGUGGUAUCCUGCAUUAAGAUGUGAAAGCUGUUGAUUCUUACUGUUUUGCCACUGUCAUGAUAAUCUAGUAAGGUCUUUCUGUCCCUUUUUCUCUCUAAUAUUUAUGGGUUUUGAUGGAGAUUAAGGUCUAUGAGAAUAGGGAGAAUCUUUUGACAACCUCAACCUAAGGAAUCUAGAUACUGUAUAUGCACCUCAAGCUGAUUUAUAGCCCUGAUAUGCCAGGCAGUAAGACAAGGGGCAGGGCAAUCAGGAUUUCUAGAAGGACACCAUGGGCCAGGUUCUCUGCUAGGCACUUUAUACAUGUUCUCAUGGAAUUCUCCUGUCUUGCAAGAAUAUGUAUUAUGAGCCUUCUUUUACAGGGAAGGCAACUUGAGGUUACAGCUAGUAGGUGACAAGUGGGGAUUCAAACCCAGAUCUACUGACUCCACCACCGACAUCCUUCAUGCUGUACCACACUGCUUCUAAAACCAGCACAUUUUAUAGCUAUUUCUUAGCCUACUCUUCUCUCAGGCUGUGUUCAUUUGGGGCUGUGAAGUUUAUAAGGCUGCACUGCCUUACACAAUUGGAUUAAAAGGGAUAUUAAUGGACAGAUGAUGGACAUCAAAGACAGACUGGCUAGAAUGAGCGAGAAACGGGGCUGCUGUUUUCAAACCAUAGUACGUCCUGGUGUUUACUUAGGUGAUGUGUCAUUUAUAAAUGCAAAAGAAGAAUGGAAAACAAUGCCAUUAAAAGAUCCUAAGUUUUU